Molecule: non-coding RNA, 223 nt
Filed under: Planktotalea frisia
Lineage: Bacteria; Pseudomonadati; Pseudomonadota; Alphaproteobacteria; Rhodobacterales; Paracoccaceae
Source: RNAcentral
CCAAGUGAUCGCAUGCAUGGUACCCGAACUUCGGCGCAAAGCGUCAUUGGGUAAAAUGGGAAUGCGGAGAUGGGGGAUCCAAUCAGGGACCCAAAGCCGCAGCCGCCCCCGCGACUGUAAGCGGCGAGCGUUUGGCACCAAGUCACUGGAUCAUCUGAUCUGGGAAGACGUCAAAACGCUGCGACCCGCGAGCCAGGAGACCAGCCUUGCAUAUGUGAAGACC